GCUGAAGUGGCGGAACUGGCAGACGCGCAUGAUUCAGGGUCAUGUGGACUUCGGUUCAUGUGGGUUCGACUCCCACCUUCAGCACCA
This 87-nucleotide transfer RNA is filed under the name Bacillota bacterium. Its description in RNAcentral is "tRNA-Leu". It matches the Rfam family "tRNA". Rfam says of the family: Transfer RNA (tRNA) molecules are approximately 80 nucleotides in length. Their secondary structure includes four short double-helical elements and three loops (D, anti-codon, and T loops). Further hydrogen bonds mediate the characteristic L-shaped molecular structure. tRNAs have two regions of fundamental functional importance: the anti-codon, which is responsible for specific mRNA codon recognition, and the 3' end, to which the tRNAs corresponding amino acid is attached (by aminoacyl-tRNA synthetases). tRNAs cope with the degeneracy of the genetic code in two manners: having more than one tRNA (with a specific anti-codon) for a particular amino acid; and 'wobble' base-pairing, i.e. permitting non-standard base-pairing at the 3rd anti-codon position. RNAcentral also lists the same sequence under 2 other names. Lineage: Bacteria; Bacillati; Bacillota. The record is from RNAcentral.